This 439-nucleotide ribosomal RNA is filed under the name uncultured bacterium. RNAcentral's name for it is "partial 16S ribosomal RNA". It matches the Rfam family "Bacterial small subunit ribosomal RNA", at positions 338 to 795 of the family's 1533-position model. The record is from RNAcentral.
CCUACGGUGUGCAGCAGUGGGGAAUAUUGCACAAUGGGCGAAAGCCUGAUGCAGCAACGCCGCGUGAGCGAUGAAGGCCUUCGGGUCGUAAAGCUCUGUCCUCAAGGAAGAUCAUGACGGUACUUGAGGAGGAAGCCCCGGCUACCUACGUGCCAGCAUCCGCGGUAAUACGUAGGGGGCUAGCGUUAUCCGGAAUUAAUGGGCGUAAAGGGUGCGUUGGUGGUUUCUUAAGUCAGAGGUGAAAGGCUACGGCUAAACCGUAGUAAGCCUUGGAAACUGGGAAACUUGCGUGCAGGAGAGGAGAGUGGAAUUGCUAGUGUAGCGGUGAAAUGCGUAGAUAGUAGGAGGAAAACCAGUUGCGAAGGCGGCUCUCUGGACUGUAACUGACACUGAGGCACGAAAGCGUGGGGAGCAAACAGGAUUAGAUACCCGGGUAGUC